Molecule: long non-coding RNA, 269 nt
Filed under: Homo sapiens (human)
Lineage: Eukaryota; Metazoa; Chordata; Mammalia; Primates; Hominidae
Description: HSALNT0163609
Source: RNAcentral
AAUUGAGGCAACACUUCAGCUGCUGGGAAUGAUCUUCUGCAAGGACCUUCUGCUCCUUUGUAAUCUUCCUAAGCUGAAUACAGUCUCUUCACCCAAGAGUAAGUCCCCUCCCUGGGGAUAGCUCAAGUCUAAUGGUCAGUUGGUAAGGUCUAAUUUCUUGGUGUUUGGAGGUAUCUCACAGCCUACAUGAAAGGUUUUAGGCUCAUCUUGUUCAUAUCCUGCCUCAGAUGCGGAAUCAGCCAACUCCCUGAGCACCCCUACUUCAUUUA